RNAcentral lists this ribosomal RNA (715 nucleotides) under Colletes graeffei. RNAcentral's name for it is "eukaryotic LSU rRNA". It matches the Rfam family "Eukaryotic large subunit ribosomal RNA", at positions 366 to 810 of the family's 3401-position model. The record is from RNAcentral. Lineage: Eukaryota; Metazoa; Arthropoda; Insecta; Hymenoptera; Colletidae.
GAAAAGAACUUUGAAGAGAGAGUUCANGAGUUCNUGAAACCNUUCAGGGGUAAACCUGAGAAACCCAAAAGAUCGAAUGGGGAGAUUCAUCGACGACGAAGCUGGCUCCCGUUGGCGUGCGAUUCCCCCGUUGGGACCUCGGUUCCAGAACGCGGGGUACACCCCUUCGGCGAAUAACCGGCGACGUAGUCGUGCACUUCUCCCUUAGUAGAACGUCGCGACCCGUUGUGUGUCGGUCUACGGCCCGGGCUAUUUGCCUGUCGCGGUGGCAUUCGUUCGCUCGCGGCAGAGGCUCGGUCGCCCGGCCGGCUGCACGACGGUACUCCGACGGUAUCGGGCCGCAACCAAUCCAUUCUCGAAUGGUAUAUGCGUCCAGGCCCGUCGCAAGCUCGGACAGCACCCGGAGCGUGUGGACGCAGCGCCCUCCCCGGGUCUGGCCAGCUGUUAGCAGACGGUGUCCUCGGACCGGCCAAGCUUCGAAUUACCGGUCAGCGACGCUAUUGCUUUGGGUACUCUCAGGACCCGUCUUGAAACACGGACCAAGGAGUCUAACAUGUGCGCGAGUCAUUGGGACAUUGAAACCUAAAGGCGAAAUGAAAGUGAAAGUCGUCGUAAGCGUCGACCAAGGGAGGAUGGGCCGCGUCACGUCGCGGCCUCGCACUCCCGGGGCGUCUCGUUCUCGUUGAGAAGAGGCGCACCCAGAGCGUACACCGUU